RNAcentral lists this ribosomal RNA (270 nucleotides) under uncultured archaeon. RNAcentral's name for it is "partial 16S ribosomal RNA". It matches the Rfam family "Archaeal small subunit ribosomal RNA", at positions 477 to 747 of the family's 1478-position model. The record is from RNAcentral.
CAGCACCUCAAGUGGUCAGGAUGAUUAUUGGGCCUAAAGCAUCCGUAGCCGGCGCUGUAAGUUUUCGGUUAAAUCUGUACGCUCAACGUACAGGCUGCCGGGAAUACUGCAGCGCUAGGGAGUGGGAGAGGUAGACGGUACUCGGUAGGAAGGGGUAAAAUCCUUUGAUCUAUUGAUGACCACCUGUGGCGAAGGCGGUCUACCAGAACACGUCCGACGGUGAGGGAUGACAGCUGGGGGAGCAAACCGGAUUAGAUACCCGAGUAGUCC